CCUGAGGUGCGCGUGACAUCCCCGUGCCCUCCACUGGAAGAAAUGUGCCCCCUGAAGGCGCAGCAGGAGCCCCCAGCCUGGGCGCGGCACCGCAGGACGCUUUGUGCUCUCCAAGGACUGCGCCUAAGUGUCCCCCGCUACGUCCUCACCUCCUGUCCUGAGGGUGCGUGGGGCGCGUCCUCGGCAGGCAGGACCGACUCCCCGACCCCAGGCUCCUCAGCUUCGCAGCGCGGUGGCCACCGAGCAGGGCGCUCCCGGAGCCGGCGCGUUUGAGGACGGGGUCGCCUCCAGGAACUGCUUCUGUUCCUUGUGUUCGCGGUUCGUUUUUCUUCUGAAAAGAAAGCCUGUGUUUCAACACGGGUGCUUGGUCUCCACGUGGCAAAGCAGCUCUGUCACCACGCAGUGCACAGGGCAGGCUUGCAGAGCACGAGUGACCCCCGAUGUCCUUUAACGCCGCCUUCUUCCUGCUGCCUCUCAGGGUCUUCGGUCUCGGCACCGGGUCCCUCCCCUUUCCAUGCAGCUCUGCAGUGACGCUGGUUUGGGGCUCGUUUGGGCUGAAGUUAGCUGUGGGUUUCCCAAACUGACUGAGAUGAGUGCUCGGUGCGGGCAGAGGCGCCGACGGGAGAGGUAAAAAGCCGUAGGCGGCGGCACAGGGACUAAAACGAGCGUCACCACCAGACGCAGCCCGCAGCUGAGGAGCUCGGGCUCACCCCGCUCUGAACCCCGGGUAGAGGCUCAGGUCCGGGAGCAGUUGGUUUGUUCCGGUCUCCGCAGUCAGAACUCUGGGCCUCUGCUCCUCUGUACCUGCAGGGGCGCCCAUGCCCCGUCGCCCCGUCGCCGCCUCCGUCAGAUCAUCGGGCCCUGGGUUCUCAGGAGGAGCGGAGUCCUCAGCCCUCGCAGGCAGCCCCACUGCGGACCCGGCCACAGACAGGCGCUGGGCCCUUCCUGCCUGGUCUCCAUAACCCUGUUACUCGGGACUUACCCGGUCACUUCCGGGGAGAGGAGGGCUCACGGGUAGCAGGGUACAUGAAAACACUGUGCAGUUUUCAGGGGCACCUGCCCCCCAGUGCAGGAAGAGCCCCUCUCCCAGGCCCUCAGACAGCCCAGAUGGGAGAGGGCGCGGCAUCUCCACUCACCUUCCUUGCAGUCACUCGUUUCAUCUAAGAAGAAAGAGGGGAGAGAGGAAGAGGAGGAAGAAGAAAAGUCACCAGUGAAUCCUGAAUUGGAAGGAGACCCAACUAAUAAGACAGCACAUUCAUCAGUAUUUGUUGGAUGAGCAGAAAGAUAUUGAGUCUUCAUGCCACUAACGAUGAUGCAGGUGAAAGGCAUAAGGUCUGAUGGCCCCCAAAAGCCCCCCCUCAUAGAAAGCAAAUCCUCCACCUGCUCCACUUGGAGGGAACACACGCGUGGGUCUCCAGACUCACCGUUCAGCACCUGAAGGCUCAGCAAACCUGGAGACAGCGACAUAGAAACUGAGUCACCAGGCGGCCACAUCAGUCCCUCGUUCGCCCACAGGCCGCCAGGCUUCUCGGAGAGGCUGGACUGGGGACUGGAGACCCGGCUCUGCAAGCUGCCCGGGCGGUGGAAGGGGAGCGGGGCUCUUACCCAGGAUCUCUGCCGCCGGUCAGUCCAUCGGAGGGCGGCGCUCCGGGUGAGGCAGAGGGCAGUGUGUGCGCCCAGGGGCGGCGGAGCCAAGGCCAGCAGAGGGACAAAGUCUCAGGUCAGCAGGAGGAAGGAGGCAGCGGAGUCCUGGGAGACCAGCGCUGGCAGGAGGAAAGCCUCCUCCCUGCUCCCUGCCACCUAGAGCCUCAGAGGAGCUCCUCAGGCUGACGCAUUCCACCUGCCCAGGUUUCCCGGCUGCUCCCAUCACCAUGGAUUUACAUGUAAUUCUCACGCCUCACGGCUCCCCGCUGCCAGGGUAGAAGGCAGUGUUGCUGGUGCAUUUCCAGUGUGCAGCCAGCACUAGUCAACGUCGGAGCACUUUUGUCCCCCAAAGGGAUCCUCCUGCCUCAGCCUCCCGAGAGCUGGGAUUACAGGCUUGCACCACGCCACCACGCCCAGCAGGGGAAGCUGUGAAGCAGCGGAUGCUGCGGAGCCCCUGGGCCAGGCCCCGAACACCCAGCUCCCCACAGCAGCAGGAGGAGCUCACGUCUCACUGAGGAGCAGCCGCCAGCCGGAGUGCACGUGGAAAAGAGGAGACAGCAGGAUAAACCGUCAGUGCCCGGCCCAGAGCUGUGGAUGCCCUAACUCCACGUGCCCUGCGGGGUGAGACAGGGUUUGGGACAGUGCAGCGAACAGAGCCCGAGGCGUCUCCGGCCUCCCGGCCCAGGUCCACCCACCCUGGGCCCAGGCAUCGUGGGACACUCAGCUGGGAUCCGGAAGCUCAGAUUUCGGGGUUCUGGGGUUGGGGUGCUCGACUUGUAAAGCCUAAGCAAAUAUCCCAACUUCUGAAAAGAAGUCUGAGACCUGAGACCUGUCUGGGGCCAAGCAUUUCUGACAAGGAAAUGCAACCUGCUGGGGACUCAGAGCCUGGGCGGCCCUGGGGAAGCAGCCAGUUCGGCGCCUUGGGGAGCCUGAGACCGGGAGGCCGAGGUGCGGGGGGGCCAGCACAUUCAGUGCUCUUGCUGGAGCCCACAAACCACUUCUGACUCCCAGCUGCUAAGUGAUACACUGUUUACCCAAAUAGACUCUUUAAAAUAUUAUUGCACCUCAGUGUAUCUCUGAAACCACACAAAACACUGGAUAAAGUGGGGCAGAGGGGGUCUGGGUCACCGGCACCCCACAAAGGUGCAGGAGGGAAGCAGACCCAGACCCAGGAUGGGGGGCUCACGCACCACCCCCUUCUUUGUUCACUGCACCCCCGUGGAGGUGAUCUCACACAUAUGCGCACGCACUGCAAGAACGCACAUGCGCACACACACAGAGACGCAUGCACACACAACCUGCACACACACACACACACACAUGCACACGUGCGCACGCAGUUACUCCAGUGAAACCCCUAACCACUGCCUUUCACCCUAAGAUAACGCUCAAAAUUCCCCCCUCUGACUCCCAAG
RNAcentral lists this long non-coding RNA (3059 nucleotides) under Heterocephalus glaber (naked mole-rat). Its description in RNAcentral is "lncRNA (ENSHGLG00000050183.1)". Lineage: Eukaryota; Metazoa; Chordata; Mammalia; Rodentia; Bathyergidae. The record is from RNAcentral.